RNAcentral lists this unclassified non-coding RNA (347 nucleotides) under Hevea brasiliensis (rubber tree). The record is from RNAcentral. Lineage: Eukaryota; Viridiplantae; Streptophyta; Magnoliopsida; Malpighiales; Euphorbiaceae.
GGGCCAUCGGGGGAGCCACAUAUUUUUGGUGCAGGAGGCUGGAUUGCCUGAUAACCCCAGGCCAAAAAUCCAAAAAAGAGCAGCAGUGCUAUAUUCCUCAGCAAUCCUGAAGAAAUCGGGGAAGAACUGCUCCGCUUAGCUCUCCUUGUAUGAGCUCUGGCCGAUGCUGCCGAUAUCUUCCGGUUCACACCCCCCGCCAUUAAAGCCCUCGGUUACCCACAGAUCAGACCUCGCCCUGAAUUUCGUAGAGAUCAAGGGAAGGGAAAGAUCUGAAAGUAAAGUGAGAGCGUGGGAAGAAACAGAGAGAUUCAAGAACGAAUAUGGUUUUUUCUUUUUCUUUGUUUUCU